ACUGUGCCUCCGUGAGGGUGAACUAGCUUUACUAAGCCUGUCAGACUAGGGAAUCUGAAGGAGGAGGACAUUGCUGGUGAUUAAGCAGGGCUUCAUCUUUCAAAAAUGAAAGAUAGCAUUAACUAUAUUUCACCAGAAAAAAGCAGUUACUUGGAGGAGCAGUGACAAAUCUUAAAGGAAUGAAGGAUGAAGCAAGAUUAUUGCGCCAAACCAGUAAAAGGAAUUGUCAGUCACAGUGAUUGCAAUACAAUGGCAUUCCAUAGUGUAUUAACAUGUUUGUGUUCAUUGAAUGGACCACAAUUCAGCGUACAGUAACUUGAAAGAUGAUGUAUAAUCUUAGACAUGUCAUAAUUUUGAAAACUAUACAUGGGAAAAAGCUGAAGAAAAUCAAUGCAACAUUUUUAGAGACUUUUUGUUCUUCUUUUGAACUUUGUGAUAUGCAAGUCCUGGGUAAGACUUUGUGGGCUUUGUCCAAAUAAAAAACAUGAGUAGUGAUAAAGGGGUGGCAACCUUAGAAUGGAGGUGGGCAUUUUUGGAGGAAUUCUGACAUCAUGUCUGCCCUAGCUAUAAUGGUUCUGCCCCUUCCAUUGAUUCUGCUACUUAAGACGUUCCCAAACUGGAAGUCACUACUGCUACAUGGAUCUGCUACUGAAGAAGAUGGAUCCUCCAACAGGGAAGAAUUAGAAUCUGCUGUAGGUACUUAGAAAUUUCCUACACCAAAUUCUUUUGUUUUGUUUGUGCCAAGUUAAACUACUUUUAUUACAGAGCCCCAAAACUUUAACUGUUUACAUUUCUAUUUGUUGCAAUACAUAUUUGAAAUCACCUGGAACAAAUCUUAAUAAACAUGAAGAACAUUCUAUGAAGAACAAACACCACUGAGCAACGACCUGCUGUUAAUACUGCUAAUGCCAUUGCAAAACAGCUAUUAUUUUGAAUCCUAUUAUGUUAUUUUUGAGCACACUACCAUCCAAUAUUACUGGGACCAAGCAGUAUUUUGAAUGGUGACGGGCAGCAGACUUACUACAUCUUCGAUGAGCAUUGUCUUGGUCACUAAGCCAGAAAGAAGUUGGAGGUUUUACGAUGACUUCCAUCGGCUUAAUCAAUUCUCCCAAUUUCAUGCUUAUCCAAUGUCACAAGUGGACAACCACCUGGAGCGACUCGGUAAAGCAGAAUAUCUGACCACUUUUGACAUGACAAAAGGGUGUUGGCAGGUUCCUUCAAUGGACUCCACAAAGGACUGACACUUUGGAUACAGGUCUUGGUGCCAUGCUGAGCUGAGCAUCGGUGCUGUUGAACUCCCCAUCAUAUUUCUGAGCCAGAAACGGCUGGAACGGGAAACCAGACCAGCUGACUGGCCCUUCCACUGCUGACAUCACUUCUGGUUCCCGCUCUUCUGGACCCACCCCUUCUGGUCUACCUACCAUAUAAAUCCUCCAUUUGCCAUAUUAUGUCAGUUCUGUUAUGAGCUCCUGUCUAUAAAAGCUGUUUAUUAACUGGCCUAAGCCAAGUAUAUGAGGUCACCACAUUGGUACCCCAACUCUU
This is a long non-coding RNA of Polypterus senegalus (gray bichir), 1542 nucleotides long. RefSeq lists it as uncharacterized. NCBI's taxonomy places the organism in Eukaryota, Metazoa, Chordata, Cladistia, Polypteriformes, Polypteridae. The transcript is spliced from 5 exons. The record is from RefSeq and is a predicted model, not a curated record.